Mycena rebaudengoi is the source of this 97-nucleotide non-coding RNA. NCBI's taxonomy places the organism in Eukaryota, Fungi, Basidiomycota, Agaricomycetes, Agaricales, Mycenaceae. The record is from the annotation of a GenBank genome assembly.
GUCCUCGUAGAUGAAUCGGCACAUCAUCCACUCCUUUCUGUAUGAUAUGCUGAAGAAGAGUAAAUGGAAGGCGGAGGUUCGAAUCCUUCCGAGGGCA